UAACAAGGAUUCCCCUAGUAACUGCGAGUGAAGCGGGAAAAGCUCAAAUUUAAAAUCUGGCGGUCUCCGGCCGUCCGAGUUGUAAUUUAGAGAAGCGUUAUCCGUGCUGGACCGUGUAUAAGUCUCCUGGAAUGGAGCGUCAUAGAGGGUGAGAAUCCCGUCUUUGACACGGACUACCAGUGCAUUGUGAUGCGCUCUCGACGAGUCGAGUUGUUUGGGAAUGCAGCUCAAAAUGGGUGGUAAAUGCCAUCUAAAGCUAAAUAUUGGCGAGAGACCGAUAGCGAACAAGUACCGUGAGGGAAAGAUGAAAAGAACUUUGGAAAGAGAGUUAAACAGUACGUGAAAUUGUCGAAAGGGAAACGGUUGCAGUCAGUCGCGUCCGCCGGGGAUCAACCUUGCUUUUGCUUGGCGUAUUUCCCGGUGGAUGGGUCAGCAUCAGUUUUGACCGCAGUUGAAAGGCUGGAGGAAUGUGGCACCUUCGGGUGUGUUAUAGCCUCCUGUCAUAUGCUGCGGUUGGGACUGAGGAACUCAGCACGCCGCAAGGCCGGGAUUCGUCCACGUUCGUGCUUAGGAUGCUGGCGU
RNAcentral lists this ribosomal RNA (582 nucleotides) under Schizophyllum commune. Its description in RNAcentral is "eukaryotic LSU rRNA". It matches the Rfam family "Eukaryotic large subunit ribosomal RNA", at positions 66 to 632 of the family's 3401-position model. Lineage: Eukaryota; Fungi; Basidiomycota; Agaricomycetes; Agaricales; Schizophyllaceae. The record is from RNAcentral.